Molecule: ribosomal RNA, 255 nt
Filed under: uncultured bacterium
Lineage: Bacteria
Description: partial 16S ribosomal RNA
Rfam family: Bacterial small subunit ribosomal RNA
Source: RNAcentral
UACAGAGGUCCCAAGCGUUUGUUCGGAUUCACUGGGCGUAAAGGGUGCGUAGGUGGCUAUUUUAAGUUUGAUGUGAAAGCUCCGGGCUCAACCCGGAAAUGGCAUUGAAGACUAUUAAGCUAGAGGUUUGGAGGGGGGACUGGAAUACUUGGUGUAGCAGUGAAAUGCGUAGAUAUCAAGUGGAACACCGGUGGCGAAGGCGAGUCCCUGGACAACACCUGACACUGAGGCACGAAAGCUAGGGGAGCAAACAGG